This is a ribosomal RNA of Lepisosteus oculatus (spotted gar), 119 nucleotides long. The record is from Ensembl. Lineage: Eukaryota; Metazoa; Chordata; Actinopteri; Semionotiformes; Lepisosteidae.
GCCAGCAACCAUAUCACCCUGCAACUCACAGCUGGCAGCCCACUGAAGCUAAGCAGGUGUGAGCCUGGUCAGUACCUGGAUGGGAGACCUCCUGGGAAAAACUAAGGUUGCUGCUGGAA